RNAcentral lists this ribosomal RNA (599 nucleotides) under Symbiodinium sp. Mp. Its description in RNAcentral is "partial Bacterial small subunit ribosomal RNA". It matches the Rfam family "Bacterial small subunit ribosomal RNA", at positions 11 to 602 of the family's 1533-position model. Lineage: Eukaryota; Dinophyceae; Suessiales; Symbiodiniaceae. The record is from RNAcentral.
GUUUGAUCCUGGCUCAGGACGAACGCUGGCGGCGGGCUUAACACAUGCAAGUCGAAGGAGAAGGUAGAAGCUUGCUUUUACUGGAGACUGGCGGACGGGUGAGUAACGCGUAGAUAACCUGCCUUUAGCUGGGGGAUAACACCGCGAAAGUGGUGCUAAUACCGCAUAAUGCAGCGGGGCCGCAUGGCCACAGUUGUUAAAGGUUUAGGCCGGCUAAAGAUGGGUCUGCGUGCUAUUAGUUAGUUGGUGAGGUAACGGCUCACCAAGGCGAUGAUAGCUAGGGGGUCUGAGAGGAUGAUCCCCCACACUGGGACUGAGACACGGCCCAGACUCCUACGGGAGGCAGCAGUAGGGAAUAUUGGGCAAUGGACGAAAGUCUGACCCAGCCAUGCCGCGUGCAGGAUGACGGCCCUAUGGGUUGUAAACUGCUUUUAUAUAGGAAGAAACCCUUCUACGUGUAGAAGGCUGACGGUACUAUACGAAUAAGGAUCGGCUAACUCCGUGCCAGCAGCCGCGGUAAUACGGAGGAUCCAAGCGUUGUCCGGAUUUAUUGGGUUUAAAGGGUGCGUAGGCGGACUAUUAAGUCAGAGGUGAAAGUU